This 432-nucleotide long non-coding RNA is filed under the name Citrus maxima (pomelo). Its description in RNAcentral is "long non-coding RNA (CMAX_LNC000774)". The record is from RNAcentral. Lineage: Eukaryota; Viridiplantae; Streptophyta; Magnoliopsida; Sapindales; Rutaceae.
CUGUGAAAAGGCAUAUGCUAGAGCUCUCUCUCGCCUGGUCGAAGCUUCCAGUCUGUUCUGAAUCCUCAUUUUAGAUACAUUGCUACUGACUGUGCUAUCAUCCCAGUCUUCCUGUUAAUAUCAUCUCAAAAAAACAAAUCAAAGUCAGGUGAAAUUCCUUAGUUCAGCCAACAUAUGUCACCCCAUAUAACUAUUUUGUUAAGAUUCUUCUUUGCUUUACCUUUACCCUGAAAAUCUGAGUUCUGGCUUUUUGAUGCACAUGGUGAGUCACAGCAGUGCUUUCUUCUCCAAAUGAGGAUCCUUCUACAGAAUUUCCGGUUUGCACUUCAAUUGAUGUGCCCAUAGACUCCCUACUUGGACUCCCCCUCCCUGAAACAGGCUCCUGCUUACUAUCAUUUGCUUUGUCUUCUUCAUUCCGAAGUGUAGCCUGAA